This 27-nucleotide small RNA is filed under the name Bombyx mori (domestic silkworm). RNAcentral describes it as "ovarian small RNA-23512". The record is from RNAcentral. Lineage: Eukaryota; Metazoa; Arthropoda; Insecta; Lepidoptera; Bombycidae.
UAUCAGAACUAAUUUGCAAAUGUUGGA